Molecule: microRNA precursor, 110 nt
Filed under: Dasypus novemcinctus (nine-banded armadillo)
Lineage: Eukaryota; Metazoa; Chordata; Mammalia; Cingulata; Dasypodidae
Description: miRNA (ENSDNOG00000039657.1)
Source: RNAcentral
CAUGGGUUGCAGCAGUACUACGUGAAACUGAAGGACAACGAGAAGAACCGGAAGCUCUUUGACCUUCUGGAUGUCCUUGAGUUCAACCAGGUCAGUUAGAGGUCUGGUAG